ACGCUCGACCCUACGAGAGACAGCAGUGGGGAAUAUUGCACAAUGGGGGAAACCCUGAUGCAGCAACGCCGCGUGAAGGAAGACGGUUUUCGGAUUGUAAACUUCUGUUCUUAGUGAAGAUAGUGACGGUAGCUAAGGAGCAAGCCACGGCUAACUACGUGCCAGUAGCCGCGGUAAUCUGAGCGGGCUGGCAAGGC
Molecule: ribosomal RNA, 197 nt
Filed under: uncultured bacterium
Lineage: Bacteria
Description: partial 16S ribosomal RNA
Rfam family: Bacterial small subunit ribosomal RNA
Source: RNAcentral